RNAcentral lists this ribosomal RNA (253 nucleotides) under uncultured bacterium. Its description in RNAcentral is "partial 16S ribosomal RNA". It matches the Rfam family "Bacterial small subunit ribosomal RNA", at positions 524 to 776 of the family's 1533-position model. The record is from RNAcentral.
GACGUAGGGUGCGAGCGUUGUCCGGAUUUAUUGGGCGUAAAGAGCUCGUAGGCGGCUCGUCGCGUCGACCGUGAAAACCCGCGGCUUAACUGCGGGCUUGCGGUUGAUACGGGCGGGCUAGAGUUCGGUAGGGGAGACUGGAAUUCCUGGUGUAGCGGUGAAAUGCGUAGAUAUCGGGAGGAACACCGGUGGCGAAGGCGGCGACCUGGGUAGAUACUGACGCUGAGGUGCGAAAGCGUGGGGAGCAAACAGG